GUGUUAGUGGCUCAGUGGUAGAGUGCUCACCUAGCUCAUAUGAGGCCCUGCGUUCAAUCCUCAGCACCACA
Molecule: transfer RNA, 71 nt
Filed under: Marmota monax (woodchuck)
Lineage: Eukaryota; Metazoa; Chordata; Mammalia; Rodentia; Sciuridae
Description: tRNA.Ala
Source: RNAcentral